CCGAUAGCGAAGGCAGCUCACAAAAUUACAACUGACACUGAGGCACGAAAGCGUGGGUAUCAAACAGGAUUAGAUACCCUGGUAGUCCACGCUGUAAACGAUGAUCACUAGCUGUUUGCGAUACAUUGUAAGUGGUUAAGCGAAAGCGAUAAGUGAUCCACCUGGGGAGUACGUCGGCAACGAUGAAACUCAAAGGAAUUGACGGGGGCCCGCACAAGCGGAGGAGCAUGUGGUUUAAUUCGAUGAUACGCGAGGAACCUUACCUGGGCUUGAACGUAUGGUGCAUGAGUGUGAAAGCACUCUUUCCUUCACAGGACUCCAUACGAGGUGCUGCAUGGUUGUCGUCAGCUCGUGCCGUGAGGUGUUAGGUUAAGUCCUGCAACGAGCGCAACCCCUGUUUUUAGUUGCCAUCAGGUUAUGCUGGGCACUCUAGAAAGACUGCCUGCGCAAGCAGAGAGGAAGGUGGGGAUGACGUCAAAUCAGCACGGCCCUUACGUCCAGGGCUACACACGUGCUACAAUGGUCGGCACAGAGGGUUGCUACCCGGCAACGGGAUGCUAAUCUCCAAAGUCGAUCUUAGUUCAGAUCGAAGUCUGCAACUCGACUUCGUGAAGUUGGAUUCGCUAGUAAUCGUAUAUCAGCCAUGAUACGGUGAAUACGUUCCCGGGCCUUGCACACACC
Molecule: ribosomal RNA, 681 nt
Filed under: uncultured bacterium
Lineage: Bacteria
Description: bacterial SSU rRNA
Rfam family: Bacterial small subunit ribosomal RNA
Source: RNAcentral